CACGGAGACCCCUAGCGUUGUUCGGAAUCACUGGGCUUAAAGCGGGUGUAGGCGGGACGGUAAGUACCUUGUGAAAGCCCCGGGCUCAACCCGGGAAUGGCUGGGUAUACUGUCGUUCUUGAGGCAGGUAGGGGUCACUGGAACCUUAGGUGGAGCGGUGAAAUGCGUAGAUAUCUAAGGGAACGCCUGUGGCGAAAGCGAGUGACUGGGCCUGUCCUGACGCUGAGACCCGAAAGCGUAGGGAGCAAACAGG
This 253-nucleotide ribosomal RNA is filed under the name uncultured bacterium. RNAcentral's name for it is "partial 16S ribosomal RNA". It matches the Rfam family "Bacterial small subunit ribosomal RNA", at positions 524 to 776 of the family's 1533-position model. The record is from RNAcentral.